GGCGGCAUAGCCAAGUGGUAAGGCAGAGGUCUGCAAAACCUCCACUCUCCGGUUCAAAUCCGGAUGCCGCCUCCA
Molecule: transfer RNA, 75 nt
Filed under: Desulfosarcina sp.
Lineage: Bacteria; Pseudomonadati; Thermodesulfobacteriota; Desulfobacteria; Desulfobacterales; Desulfosarcinaceae
Also listed under: 6 other names
Description: tRNA-Cys
Rfam family: tRNA
About the family: Transfer RNA (tRNA) molecules are approximately 80 nucleotides in length. Their secondary structure includes four short double-helical elements and three loops (D, anti-codon, and T loops).
Source: RNAcentral